This 396-nucleotide ribosomal RNA is filed under the name Lactiplantibacillus plantarum. RNAcentral's name for it is "Lactobacillus plantarum partial 16S ribosomal RNA". It matches the Rfam family "Bacterial small subunit ribosomal RNA", at positions 74 to 452 of the family's 1533-position model. Lineage: Bacteria; Bacillati; Bacillota; Bacilli; Lactobacillales; Lactobacillaceae. The record is from RNAcentral.
UGGUGCUUGCAUCAUGAUUUACAUUUGAGUGAGUGGCGAACUGGUGAGUAACACGUGGGAAACCUGCCCAGAAGCGGGGGAUAACACCUGGAAACAGAUGCUAAUACCGCAUAACAACUUGGACCGCAUGGUCCGAGUUUGAAAGAUGGCUUCGGCUAUCACUUUUGGAUGGUCCCGCGGCGUAUUAGCUAGAUGGUGGGGUAACGGCUCMCCAUGGCAAUGAUACGUASCCRACCUGARAGGGUAAUCGGCCACAUUGGGACUGARACMCGGCCCAAACUCCUACGGGAGGCAGCAGUAGGGAAUCUUCCACAAUGGACGAAAGUYUGAUGGAGCAACSCCSCGUGAGUGAARAAGGGUUUCGGCUCGUAAAACUYUGUUGUUAAAGAARAACAU